CUCAAUAUGUUCUUUCAUAAGAUAUUUUCCUUUUUGGUCGGAUUUUGCAUCCAGGGCUAAGAUUUAACCAAAUCCACAUGUUUGUAAAAGCAACUCUUAACUUAUUCUUAAUUAAUGAAUGAGGUAAAACUUUUGCCUCCGCUUUUGAAAAAAGAUCGAAACCGGCUAAUUUUUGUUUAGUACAGUUGAAUUAAAAACACGGUCGAAUCUUUGCCUUGGCUGCGAUUUCAGAUAAUAAAUCCAACUGAAUUCCUACAUAGCUGAAUUAUUCUUACAAAAGCCUAACUGAAUUCACACACAGAUAAAAAAUAGACAUGAGAAAGCUGAAUUAGAAGAAGAAGAAAAAAACUAUGCAAUUUGUACAUGAACGAAACCAGCAGUUUGACGACUUCCUUUCUUCGGCAGUUUGGCUCGGCCCGAUCCGUUUUAGUUCUCGCCAUCGUCACUCCCAACUCCCAUGGUCGAAGCCCUCAUCAAGGUUGUCUCCCCCAAUGGCGGAGGCAGGAUCGAUCAAUGCCCACGCAAGCCUUAUGCUACAAUUUUUCAAAUACACAUAGACUUUUUUCAUACAAGUUGUACAUUUUUGGCAUACACACGAAACAUUUUUCUGAUACAUGUUCAACAUUUUUUAAAUACAUGAUGAACAUUUGUUCAAAUACACGUUUGAGCAUUUUUUGAAUGCAUGUUAAUUUUUUUCCAAAUGCAGGUUGACAUUUUCUGGAUACACAUUGAACAC
This 736-nucleotide long non-coding RNA is filed under the name Hordeum vulgare. RNAcentral describes it as "long non-coding RNA (HVUL_LNC020370)". The record is from RNAcentral. Lineage: Eukaryota; Viridiplantae; Streptophyta; Magnoliopsida; Poales; Poaceae.